GUUUUUUCAGUUUUUCAAAGAAGUUGGGGUACAGAAUGAAGAUAAGGGGUGGGGUAGCAAACAUUGCAGUUACAUUGGAGUAUAGUAGCUUAGUACACUGUAGGUUAUACAACUUAUUUACAGCGAUUGUACUUUUGUUCAUUUUAGGACCAGAGUGGUCUGCCUCUCGGAUCUUCACCCUCUUCUUGCUUGGAGAGGUUCUUUUGAAUGUGUUGUUGUAUGUCCUAGCUUGUGGAGUCGGAGUGGUUUUUGUAGCGUCCAUGUCUCCUAGGGUGUGUGGAUUUUGUGGUUUGUAGGGUGUACUUUUGUCGGUGUCGUGUGCUUGUGUUUCGUGGGGAGGCAAUGAGGGGUUUCCGUUUGUCCGUUGUGUGACCCUUCGUCCUCUCUGGUCUUUGUCUGUAGGGUGAUGUGUAUAUGUGCUGUGGGUUAGGUGCUUUUUGGUGUCUCAGGUUUUUGUCUUGUCUUCGUUUUUUGCUAUGGGGGUUUUGGUGUUUGCUCUUGAAGGUGAGUUUGGGUUGGGUCGGGGUUCUAGGUCGUGUAGUUGGGAUGUGGUGAGUUUCACGGUAUGCUGAUGUGGUGUCUUAGUGAGCUUGGUUGAUCGUUCAUAUGGCCUGGUAUGUGGGGGUGGGCUGGGAGGAAAGGGGGAUAUUGAUGGGGUGGAGGGAGUAGGCUGGGGUAGGGGAGGUAGGAUCCCUGUCAGGGCUGUUUGCUAUUUUUUGGGGGGGUGAGUUCAAUUGGGGGGACGUUCGUAGUCCUCUGUUCCUCCUUUUACUUAAGUGGUAGGGGUUGUUGGAUCCAUGGAUCCCAUAUCUUAUGGUAGUGUUGUGUCGUGUCGUGUAGCAGUGCCGACAGUUUGUCCAUUUCCAUGGCUUCAUUCAUUUUCCUGAUCAUAGUGGUUAAUUGGGGUGUAUUUUGGUUGCCCCACUGUUCUCCUAUCGUGUGUCUGGUUGCUAGUGCCAUUCUUGCUAUCAGUUUGUUUUGGGCUCUGGUAAGGGGGCUGUGUGGUUUGGAGAGUAGCCACACCCAGGGGUCCCUGGGUAUGUCCACAUCAAGUAUGUUAGAUGCCAGUGUGGUCACUUUUUCCCAUAUUUGUGAGGUUUGUGGGCAUUCUCACCAAAGGUGGAUGUAGGUGCCCUUUUGCCCACAGCCCUUCCAGCAUGAGUCCGUGGUUGUCCGGCCCAUUUGUCUCAUUCUCAGGGGUGUGAGGUACCACCUGAGUAGAGUCUUGUAUGCCUGCUCCUUGUGAUUCACACAUAUGGUGAGUGAGGCCGUAGCCUCCCAUAUGUCCGACCAAUCUGAUGGGUCCUCUGGGGGGCCUAUGUCUCUUUCCCACGCCUUCGUGUAUGAGAGGGUGUCUUCUGGGGAGUUGGCAUUUAGGAGGAGGUAUAUGGUAGAGAUUUUUCCCUUUUGCAUGGGUGCGUGUAGGCAUGUUUUUUUAAAUUAGGUUGGCCCAGCGGUGGCAGCUGCCUUGUUGUGUGGUUCAGUGAGGAAGCUGCGUAUCUAGAGGUAUCGAAAGUGGUCAAAUGUGUUUAGUGGGGUCUGUCUGGGCAGGUCUUGGAAGGGUCGGAAUUGUUGGCCUUGGAAGAAGUGGAGGAAUCUGUAUAGCCCAUUGUCCUCAUAUCUCACAAAGUCUCGAGGCGAUAGGCCUGGGGGAAAUUGAUUGUUUCUCAGAAUGGGUGUGAGAGGUGAUGGUUUGUUAACUAUGGGGUUCUUAGAGAUUGUGGUGUCCCAGAUGUGAAAGGAUGUUGUUAGGGAGGGGGUGGUUCGUGGAGUUGGUGGUCUGUCUUUCUUGGGCACCCAAAAGAGUAGUGGUCUCGUGUCAGGAGGUCAUGUUCCAGGUCCACCCAUAGCUUGAGCCCCGGUUGUGCGUGUAGGUUCUGUAUCAGGGCUAGUUGGGCUGCCUGGUAGUAGUGGUAAAAGUUUGGGAGGCCUGGUGGUUUUAUACAUUGUGGCUCUUUUGAUGCGUGGCCUUUUAUUGUACCAAAUGAAUUUGUCUAUGUUAGUUUGGAGUGUUUUGAAGUCAUGUUUGGAUAUGGGUAUGGGAAGAGUUUGAAAUAAGUAUAGGAAUCGUGGGAGUAGGUUCAUUUUUAUGGAGGCUAUUCGCCCCAGCCACGAUAUGGACAUGGGGCCCGAUGUUUGUAGGUCUAGGUGUGCUUGGCGGAGUAGUGGGGUGUAGUUCAGGGCAUAGGUUUUGUUGAGGUCUGCGGGGAGAUGCGUUCCUAGGUAGUGAAUGCUUUGCAAGUUGUAUCUAAAUGGGUGGGUUGAUUUUAUGUGUUCAAGAGUUGGCUGCUGUAUCCCUAUUGGGAGGGCUUCCGUUUUUUCUAGGUUUAGUUUGUAUCCCAAUAGGGUUGCGUAUUUUUGUAGAAUUGUCAGUAAGGGUGGGAGGGAUUGGGUAGGGUCCAUGAUCGUGAGUAAGAUAUCGUCCGCAUAGGCUGCUAUUUUAUAUUCUUCAUUCCUGACCUUGAUACCUUGUAUUUCUUGUUCCCUACGUAUGUUUUGGAGGAGGGGUUCAAGUGAUAGGGCGAACAGGAGUGGGCAGAGCGGGCAGCCCUGUCUUGUCCCAUUUUUAAUUGUGAAUUCUGGGUAUUUGGCGUUUGGUAUGAGGAGUGUGGCAGUUGGUUGGGCAUAUAGGGUCUGUAAGGCUUGAAGAAUGGGUGAUGGGAAUUUGAAUCUUUGGAGGGUGGCGAAUAGGAAUGGCCAUAGUAUGCGAUCAAAGGCCUUUUCCGCAUCCAUUGAUAAAAGAAGGGUUGGGAUUUUCCUACUUUGGGUACCCAUAUUAGAUCUAUCAUGCGUCUUGUGUUAUCCCCUGCCUGUCUUGUGGGUAUGAAGCCCACCUGGUCGGGAUGUAUUCGCUUUGGGAGGAGGGGUUGUAUUCAGUUAGCUAAAGUUUUUGUGAUUAUCUUUGUGUCCACGUUGAGUAGCGAUAUGGGUCGGUAGUGGCCUGGGUCGAGAUGUGUUUUGUCGGAUUUUGGUAUAAGGCAGAUGUUUGUUCUGAGCAUCUCCUUUGGGAGUGGGUCCCCCACUUUAGUAGUGAGUUCCUUAGAGCUGUGAGAUGGGGUAUGAGAGCAUUUGCGGAUGUCUUAUAGUAUAGGCCUGUGAAGCCGUCUGGUCCGGGGCAUUUGUUGGGUUUGAUUGUUUUUAAUGUAUUGGCGAUUUCUUCUGUCGUGAAAGGGGCUGAGAGCAUUGCUAUUGCGGUGUCCAUUAGGGAUGGGAGGGGGUGUUUUGGAGGUAUAGUUCGAUGUCUUGUUUUAGGGUUGGAGAGGGGUCUGGAUUGUGGUCAUAGAGUGAUCUAAAGUAGUUAGAGAAUAUCGAUGCUAUGUGGCUGCGGUCUUUGUGAGUGUUACCCCCCCAGGGAUUUUAUUUCAGUGAUCCGUUUAGUUUGUGUUUUUUGGCAGAGUUUGCGGGCUAGGAGGGUGUCUGUCUUAUUUGAUUUCUCAUAGAAGAGUUGUUUACUCCAUUGGAGGGCUUUUAGUGAGUCUUUGGUCAUAUAUGAUUUGAUGGCCUGUUGGUGGGUUUUUAUUUGGGCUGAUAGUGUUGGGGUGGGGUGUCGCUUAUGUUGAGCAUCUAGGGUCCUAAGGGUAAGUAAAUGGUCCUCGAGUUCCUUUAGUUUUAGUUUUUUGUGUCUUGUGGCUUCUGCAAUUAGUUUGCCUCUUAUGACGGCUUUGUGAGCCGUCCAGAGUGUUCCUAUAGCCGUCACUGAGUUUUGUUUAUAUCGAAGUAUUCUUUAAGUGCGUCUUGUAUGGUUUGUUUUAUCUCAGGUUUGUGCAGUAAGGUGGGGUUUAGACACCACGACUAAGAUCAUGCUGUCUGUGGGAUUGAUAGUGUGAGGGAUAUCGCCGCGUGGUCAGACCACGUGCUUGUGCCUAUCGUUGUUGUGAUAUCUUGGGUGAAGAGUGAGGGGGAGACCAGAAACAGGUUGAUCCUCGAGUAGGAAAGAUGGGGGUUGGAGUAGAAGGUGAAGUCUGCUAAUGUAGGAUUUUGUAUUCUCCAGAUGUCAAGGAGGCCUGAUUGGAGUAUAAAGGUCGAGAGUAGUUUAUCAUUGGCCGACGUUUUGGGCAUUGUUGUGGUAUUUUGUGGAUGGCGUUUUUAGUCCUGUUGGGGUGCUGGGACUGCAUUGAAAUCCCCUCCUAGGAUCAUGUGGUGGGAGGGGAAUAGCUUUAGAUGUGCCCGUAAUGCUGACCAGAAGGGUGGGUCUGGGGUAGUGGGAGCGUAGAUAGUCGUUAGUGCGUAUUUGUGUGUUCCGUGGUGGCCCGCUAUUGUUAGGAAUCUGCCCUGGGGGUCAGCGGUGGUUUGUUUGAAGCUAAAGGGGCAUGUAUUGUGAAUUAGUAUCGCUACUCCGUUUCUUUUUCCGUUUGGGGAGUUAACAAGGUGGUAUUCCUUGUAUUGUCCGUUUUUAAGCGGGAACGGUAUUGCUGCAUCAAAAUGAGUUUCUUGGAGGAAUAUUAUGUCAGUCCCUGUUCUAUUGGCCCAUCGCAUUAAUUGAUGGCGUUUAGCGGGGUUGCUUAAGCCCGUGCAGUUAAGGGAGAUGCAUUUCAGUUUUCCCAUCUCUGGUGGUCCGUGAGAGUUGGGG
This is a non-coding RNA of Pelobates cultripes (western spadefoot toad), 4570 nucleotides long. NCBI's taxonomy places the organism in Eukaryota, Metazoa, Chordata, Amphibia, Anura, Pelobatidae. The record is from the annotation of a GenBank genome assembly.